RNAcentral lists this long non-coding RNA (1311 nucleotides) under Mustela putorius furo (domestic ferret). RNAcentral's name for it is "lncRNA (ENSMPUG00000031731.1)". The record is from RNAcentral. Lineage: Eukaryota; Metazoa; Chordata; Mammalia; Carnivora; Mustelidae.
GUUUCCUGGCUCUCUGGUCCCAGGCUCACCAUUACACCAAUCCGGUGGGGGUAAAGCCUGGCCUGUGACCGCCCUUGGGUGGGCCACAGUCCCAGAGGAAGCACGUGGAGUCGGCUCCCACGGGAAGGAGGGCUUCUUCUGUUGGCUGAGGAGAGGGAAGGGCUGCUGAUCAGGGAAAACCUAUGCCCGCCGCCAUGGCUCUUCCCCAAGUGCCAUACGCCAGGCCCUUGCCCACCGCAGCCGGGAGCCCAGAGCGCCAAGGCUCGGUGCACAUGAAAGAGAAUCGCGUGACCUGUAGGGACGAGUCAUGGUUUUCUCCUGGGACCACCUCACGACGGGCUCAUUCCACACACGGUUUGGCCCACACUGAUCGCUCCUCUGGGCCGGGCCCCGUUCCAGGCUCGGGGACUCUAGGUGCUUUGGUUUUGUUUUUGAAGGCACAGGGGCUGCCCUUAAAGAGCCCCCCACUGGGGACAGACACGUACGGGACAGCAGUGUGUUAACAGCAAUGAUAGAAGCCCUUGGGGCGCCUGGCCGGCUUGGUCGGUACGGUGUGGGACUCUUGAUCUCAGGGUUGUGAGUCCAAGCCCCACACUGGAUGCAGGGAUUACUUAAGAUGUAAAAAUAAACUCCUUAGGGGAAAAAAAAAAAGCAGAUGAAUUCAUCCAGGAUAUGUGAAGGAUGUUUACAACUCAGUGAUGAAAAGACAACCAGGUAAGAAGUGGGCAAGGAACUUGAAUGGACACUCCUGUGAAGACAGAAGUGGAGAGACAUUCUGAGUCCUUAGUCAGGAGGGAAUGCAGGGCAGAACCACCGGAUCCCACCUCUCACCCCCUAGAGGGCUAUCGUAGUUAACAGUAACAACAGGUGUUCGUGAGGGCUGGAGACCUUGGAGGCCUCGUCCAUCCCCGGCAGGAACGUGAGAUGGUGAGAUGGUGCGGGCACCGUGGAAAGACAGCUCGAGGGCUCCUCCCCGAGUUACCCGGAAUCACCCUCUGACCCAGCAAGUCCACUCCCGGCCACGUCGCCUGCACUGCGAGCGGGGACUGUACUGGACAUGGGCGCACCACUGCUGCUGGCAGCAUUACUCACGGUGGCCUGAGGCAAAACCACCCCGAUGUCCCUCAGGAGGUGAACGCAUAAACAAAGCCCGGUCUGCAUGUCCAGCGAGACACUCAGCCGGAAAAGGAAAGGACUGGUUCGCGCUCCGGGGCUUUAUGGCAAGUGAAAGAUGCCGUACACAGAAGGCCGCGUCCUGUGUGAUCCUGGCCGCUGUCGAUCACUGUCACUGAACUCUCAUGCAGUCGCGGG